This 253-nucleotide ribosomal RNA is filed under the name uncultured bacterium. RNAcentral's name for it is "partial 16S ribosomal RNA". It matches the Rfam family "Bacterial small subunit ribosomal RNA", at positions 524 to 776 of the family's 1533-position model. The record is from RNAcentral.
UACGUAGGGUCCGAGCGUUGUCCGGAAUUACUGGGCGUAAAGAGCUCGUAGGUGGUUUGUCGCGUUGUUCGUGAAAACUCACAGCUUAACUGUGGGCGUGCGGGCGAUACGGGCAGACUUGAGUACUGCAGGGGAGACUGGAAUUCCUGGUGUAGCGGUGGAAUGCGCAGAUAUCAGGAGGAACACCGGUGGCGAAGGCGGGUCUCUGGGCCUUACCUGACGCUCAGGUGCGAAAGCUAGGGGAGCGAACAGG